AAAAAUGUAAACCCUAGUUGUCCCUUUUUCUCUCUAUCACCGUAAAUAGCUUAUAUUGAUCUAGCAAUAUGUCAUUCUUGAUUCUUCGGGUUUGCUUUUGUGUGGACUAAGUAAGUGCGUGUAUAUACUUGAUUCGGCUUGCGAAGAAAUCAUUUCUUCGAAGGGAAGGAGCUAUCCAUAGACGUAUAAUCUAUUUCCUUGAUAAUGGGAAGGAAAGGAAAGGAAAAAGGCGGGUUAAAAAGACAAACGAAAAUUGCAGAAGGUGAAACGGUGGAAGAUGGUGGUGGAGGGGUGGCGGGAAUGUGGAGAAAUAGUGGAAAAGAGGGAGAAUAUGUGGAGGAAGAUGGAGGUGGAGAUGGGUUGGCUGGAUGAAUAUGAAUGUUGAAUGCGGUUGGUUUGCCAACCUAUAGAGAAGUGAGAGGAUUUUCUCUCACUCAUCAAGUCUAUAUGUUUUAGUGCGCCCGAAUUAUUGUAUUUUCACUAAAUGUGAAUUGGAUGAACAUUAAAUUUGUUUACUGGUGGCAUUCAAGGCCAUUUAUUAACAAAUAAAGGAGUAAUUUCAAUUA
Molecule: long non-coding RNA, 566 nt
Organism: Pistacia vera
Lineage: Eukaryota; Viridiplantae; Streptophyta; Magnoliopsida; Sapindales; Anacardiaceae
Exons: 2
Source: RefSeq, a predicted model, not a curated record